CUAGGAAUCUGCCGGGUUGUGUUUUACACCCUUCCAAAAGGAACGCUAAGACCGCAUACGCCCUUUGGAAGAAAGCAGGGGACCUUCGGGCCUUGCGCUAUCAGAUGAGCCUAGGUCGGAUUAGCUUGUUGGUGAGGUAAUGGCUCACCAAGGCGACGAUCCGUAACUGGGCUGAGAGGAUGAUCAGUCACACUGGAACUGAGACACGGUCCAGACUCCUACGGGAGGCAGCAGUGGGGAAUAUUGGACAAUGGGCGAAAGCCUGAUCCAGCCAUGCCGCGUGUGUGAAGAAGGUCUUCGGAUUGUAAAGCACUUUAAGUUGGGAGGAAGGGUUGUAGAUUAAUACUCUGCAAUUUUGACGUUACCGACAGAAUAAGCACCGGCUAACUCUGUGCCAGCAGCCGCGGUAAUACAGAGGGUGCAAGCGUUAAUCGGAAUUACUGGGCGUAAGCGCGCGUAGGUGGUUUGUUAAGUUGGAUGUGAAAGCCCCGGGCUCACCUGGGAACUGCUUCCAAAACUGGCAAGCUAGAAGUACGGUAGAGGGUGGUGAAUUUUCCUGUGUAAGCGUGAAAUGCGUAGAUAUAGGAAGGAACACCCGGUGGCCUGAGGCGCCACCUUGACCUGAUACCGGACACUUGAGUGCGAAAAGCGUGGGGAAGCAACAGGGUUUAAAUACCCCCUGGCAGUCCCCCGCCGUAAGCGAGGUCAACAGGCG
This 715-nucleotide ribosomal RNA is filed under the name Pseudomonas parafulva. Its description in RNAcentral is "bacterial SSU rRNA". It matches the Rfam family "Bacterial small subunit ribosomal RNA", at positions 117 to 822 of the family's 1533-position model. Lineage: Bacteria; Pseudomonadati; Pseudomonadota; Gammaproteobacteria; Pseudomonadales; Pseudomonadaceae. The record is from RNAcentral.